AUUGAACGCUGGCGGCAGGCCUAACACAUGCAAGUCGAACGGUAACAGGAAGAAGCUUGCUUCUUUGCUGACGAGUGGCGGACGGGUGAGUAAUGUCUGGGAAACUGCCUGAUGGAGGGGGAUAACUACUGGAAACGGUAGCUAAUACCGCAUAACGUCGCAAGACCAAAAAGGGGGACCUUCGGGCCUCUUGCCAUCGGAUGUGCCCAGAUGGGAUUAGCUAGUAGGUGGGGUAACGGCUCACCUAGGCGACGAUCCCUAGCUGGUCUGAGAGGAUGACCAGCCACACUGGAACUGAGACACGGUCCAGACUCCUAGGGGAGGCAGCAGUGGGAAUAUUGCACAAUGGGCGCAAGCCUGAUGCAGCCAUGCCGCGUGUAUGAAGAAGGCCUUCGGGUUGUAAAGUACUUUCAGCGGGGAGGAAGGGAGUAAAGUUAAUACCUUUGCUCAUUGACGUUACCCGCAGAAGAAGCACCGGCUAACUCCGUG
This 489-nucleotide ribosomal RNA is filed under the name uncultured bacterium. Its description in RNAcentral is "partial 16S ribosomal RNA". It matches the Rfam family "Bacterial small subunit ribosomal RNA", at positions 30 to 507 of the family's 1533-position model. The record is from RNAcentral.